This 1107-nucleotide ribosomal RNA is filed under the name Salmonella enterica subsp. enterica serovar Enteritidis. RNAcentral's name for it is "partial 23S ribosomal RNA". It matches the Rfam family "Bacterial large subunit ribosomal RNA", at positions 161 to 1308 of the family's 2925-position model. The record is from RNAcentral. Lineage: Bacteria; Pseudomonadati; Pseudomonadota; Gammaproteobacteria; Enterobacterales; Enterobacteriaceae.
AAUCCAUAGGUUAAUGAGGCGAACCGGGGGAACUGAAACAUCUAAGUACCCCGAGGAAAAGAAAUCAACCGAGAUUCCCCCAGUAGCGGCGAGCGAACGGGGAGGAGCCCAGAGCCUGAAUCAGCAUGUGUGUUAGUGGAAGCGUCUGGAAAGGCGCGCGAUACAGGGUGACAGCCCCGUACACAAAAGCGCAUGUGCUGUGAGCUCGAUGAGUAGGGCGGGACACGUGGUAUCCUGUCUGAAUAUGGGGGGACCAUCCUCCAAGGCUAAAUACUCCUGACUGACCGAUAGUGAACCAGUACCGUGAGGGAAAGGCGAAAAGAACCCCGGCGAGGGGAGUGAAAAAGAACCUGAAACCGUGUACGUACAAGCAGUGGGAGCACCCUUUGGGUGUGACUGCGUACCUUUUGUAUAAUGGGUCAGCGACUUAUAUUCUGUAGCAAGGUUAACCGAAUAGGGGAGCCGGAGGGAAACCGAGUCUUAACCGGGCGUUAAGUUGCAGGGUAUAGACCCGAAACCCGGUGAUCUAGCCAUGGGCAGGUUGAAGGUUGGGUAACACUAACUGGAGGACCGAACCGACUAAUGUUGAAAAAUUAGCGGAUGACCUGUGGCUGGGGGUGAAAGGCCAAUCAAACCGGGAGAUAGCUGGUUCUCCCCGAAAGCUAUUUAGGUAGCGCCUCGUGAAUUCAUCUCCGGGGGUAGAGCACUGUUUCGGCUAGGGGGCCAUCCCGGCUUACCAACCCGAUGCAAACUGCGAAUACCGGAGAAUGUUAUCACGGGAGACACACGGCGGGUGCUAACGUCCGUCGUGAAGAGGGAAACAACCCAGACCGCCAGCUAAGGUCCCAAAGUCAUGGUUAAGUGGGAAACGAUGUGGGAAGGCCCAGACAGCCAGGAUGUUGGCUUAGAAGCAGCCAUCAUUUAAAGAAAGCGUAAUAGCUCACUGGUCGAGUCGGCCUGCGCGGAAGAUGUAACGGGGCUAAACCAUGCACCGAAGCUGCGGCAGCGACACUGUGUGUUGUUGGGUAGGGGAGCGUUCUGUAAGCCUGUGAAGGUGUGUCGUGAGGCAUGCUGGAGGUAUCAGAAGUGCGAAUGCUGACAUAAGUA